CACUAAACCGCAACAAUCCAAACAGCCUGUUAGUAUCAACUAUGGAGAGAGAUCCAUGUGAUGGAAAGGAAGCAUCUCCUGCAGAGACUUCUUGGUCUCCUGAGAUUCCAAACCACUGGAUUGAGGCUCAAGAUUCACUGAAGAGAAGUCUAGUCACAGAAGAUGAUUUCACAUGGAAAUUACCCAGAGACACAAAUACAGCCACAGCCAGUGCAUUAGGAGGAGGAGAAGUCUGUAGAGUGUUGAAGUAUGUGGGUGGGGUGGAUAUUAGCUUCUCAAAAGUUGAUCCAUCCAUUGCUUGUGGUACACUUGUUGUUUUGGAUCUCCUCACUCUCGAAGUUGUCUAUGACGAUUUCUCUGUUGUCAGGCUCCAUAUCCCUUAUGUUCCUGGGUUUCUUGCCUUCAGAGAGGCUCCAAUCCUUUUAGAGCUUUUGGAGAAAAUGAAGAAUUGUGCUCAUCCUUUCUAUCCCCAGUUGUUGAUGGUUGAUGGCAAUGGAUUACUUCAUCCUCGAGGCUUUGGUUUGGCUUGUCAUCUAGGUGUUCUGGCUAAUCUUCCUACUAUUGGGAUAGGAAAGAAUUUGCAUCAUGUGGAUGGUCUUUCCCAAUCUAGAGUGAGACAACUCCUUGAAGCGAAAGGAAACUUACCUGAAGAUAUCAUCACUUUAAGUGGUGACUCUGGGAGUAUAUGGGGAGCGGCAAUGCGAUCGACUCAGGGGUCAUUUAAGCCCAUAUUCAUUUCAGUUGGUCACCGUGUAUCUCUUGCAACUGCUGUCGAAAUUGCUAAAAUGACUUGCAAAUACCGUGUGCCAGAGCCUAUCAGACAGGUCGAUGAUACCAGAUAUGGAAUAUAACAAUUGAAAGUUGCUGAAAACAAUGUUCUGCCUCCAUGUUUAAUGAGAAUGCUGAUGUAAGAUCCAGAGACUACCUCCGGAAGCAUCAAUUGGUCCAGUAAUUCAAAUGUGUAAGCAAAGCACAUUUUGCACUUCAAUGGGUCCAGUAAUUCAAAUGUGUAAGAUUUUGCACUACCUGGAAGUUGUUUUGUUUUUAGUUUUUGGUUUUAUUUAUUUAUUUAUUAUUUAGUCACUAGAUAGAAGUGUGACCAAGAAUCUUAAAACAUCACUUGCUGGUUACACAACAUGUAGAAUAAAAUGAAUACCCAUUUCCAUUUUCUGGAAGUAGAAAUGCAAAGGUAAUGAUGGAACUAGAUAGCCUCUA
Molecule: non-coding RNA, 1215 nt
Organism: Camellia sinensis
Lineage: Eukaryota; Viridiplantae; Streptophyta; Magnoliopsida; Ericales; Theaceae
Source: RefSeq, a predicted model, not a curated record